This 471-nucleotide ribosomal RNA is filed under the name Escherichia coli. RNAcentral's name for it is "partial 23S ribosomal RNA". It matches the Rfam family "Bacterial large subunit ribosomal RNA", at positions 1291 to 1764 of the family's 2925-position model. Lineage: Bacteria; Pseudomonadati; Pseudomonadota; Gammaproteobacteria; Enterobacterales; Enterobacteriaceae. The record is from RNAcentral.
CGAAUGCUGACAUAAGUAACGAUAAAGCGGGUGAAAAGCCCGCUCGCCGGAAGACCAAGGGUUCCUGUCCAACGUUAAUCGGGGCAGGGUGAGUCGACCCCUAAGGCGAGGCCGAAAGGCGUAGUCGAUGGGAAACAGGUUAAUAUUCCUGUACUUGGUGUUACUGCGAAGGGGGGACGGAGAAGGCUAUGUUGGCCGGGCGACGGUUGUCCCGGUUUAAGCGUGUAGGCUGGUUUUCCAGGCAAAUCCGGAAAAUCAAGGCUGAGGCGUGAUGACGAGGCACUACGGUGCUGAAGCAACAAAUGCCCUGCUUCCAGGAAAAGCCUCUAAGCAUCAGGUAACAUCAAAUCGUACCCCAAACCGACACAGGUGGUCAGGUAGAGAAUACCAAGGCGCUUGAGAGAACUCGGGUGAAGGAACUAGGCAAAAUGGUGCCGUAACUUCGGGAGAAGGCACGCUGAUAUGUAGGUG